UAGGAAGGACUGGGUGUAUUGAUACACCAGUAGUGUAAUUAAUAACUUCACCAUGAUCGAACGGAUAGCCAAUGUCUGUUUUUUAUAUUUUUACCCAUCUACCAAUAGGUAACCUUCUUUGCAAAGCAUUGGAAAACCUCCCUGGUUAUUGUGGGUGAAUUUGUGUUUGAAAUUCACUGCUCAACUGAGGAACCUUACAGAUAAUUGUAUGUGUGGGGUACAGAGAUUAAUAGCCAUUAAAAAAUCUUGUUAAACACUAUUUUUGCACACAUACAAUUGAAUCCAUGCAAUUAUGCAAAUAUUUACUCCUGAACUUAUUUAGACUUGCCGUAACAAAGGGGUUUGAAUACUUAUUGACUCAAGGCAUUUAAAUUUAAAAUUUUAAAUUAAUGUGUAAAAAAAAAUCUAAAAACAUAAUUCCACUUUGACAUUCUGGGCUAUUGUGAUGUCAUGAUGGGAUAUUGUGAUGUCAUGAUGGGAUAUUGUGAUGUCAUGAUGGGGUAUUGUGAUGUCAUGAUGGGAUAUUGUGAUGUCAUGAUGGGGUAUUGUGAUGUCAUGAUGGGAUAUUGUGAUGCCAUGAUGGGAUAUUGUGAUGCCAUGAUGGGGUAUUGUGAUGCCAUGAUGGGGUAUUGUGAUGUCAUGAUGGGAUAUUGUGAUGUCAUGAUGGGAUAUUGUGAUGUCAUGAUGGGAUAUUGUAAUGUCAUGAUGGGAUAUUGUAAUGCCAUGAUGGGGUAUUGUGAUGCCAUGAUGGGGUAUUGUGAUGUCAUGAUGGGAUAUUGUGAUAUCAUGAUGGGAUAUUGUGAUAUCAUGAUGGGAUAUUGUGAUGUCAUGAUGGGAUAUUGUGAUGUCAUGAUGGGGAAUUGUAUUUAGGCCAGUGACAAAAAAAAUCUCAAUUGAAUCCAUUUUUAAAUUCAGGCUGUAACACAACAAAAUGUGGAAAAUAUCAAGGGGUGUGAAUACUUUAAAGGCAUUGUACAUAUAUCACAGACGUAUAUUAUAGACUUACAUAUUACAGAUUGACAUAUUAUAGACAUGCAUAUUACAGAUUUAUAUAUUAUAGAUUUACAUAUUAAGGCCUUUUCGCACGGGACUGGUAUUACUAUAGACUGUCGGUUAUGUAAUUAUUACCACAUGUCAGGGACGAUUCGGACAGGAUUAGUUUUACAAAAUAUAUUUUUUUCACUUGUUCACAAUGUACCAUUAUGAAAGAAGCCCUGGAGGCUCUUCUAGGCGUGAAGAUAUUUCAUAUGUCUAGGAAGAGUCCAAUAUUGACCUAAUGGCCUCCAGUUUGGAGAACGUUAUAAUCCAUAUCAAUAAGAACCAUGAACUGUAACCUACGCAGAUAUUUAAUGACGGAUUUGGCAGUUUCUCUAUUCAUUUGACAAUAUCGGUCAAUUGUGAAUGAGGUAAAUAUAUAUAUAUAUAUUACAGGGGCAGUUUGGUAAAACUAAUCCGGUCCGAAUCGUCCACUGGAAAAACGGACCUGCUGGGGUGAUAAUUACAUAACGGACGUUCUAUGGUAAUACUAGUCCCGUGUGAAUAGAGCUGUACUGUACGUUAAGACACUGUAGUGUUUUACACAGUGAUAUAAAUAUGAAAAAAGACAAAACGCAGUCCUCACUAGUAGACAUUGACACACACACACACACACACACACACACACAGACACAGAUACAGAGAUAGACACACAAACACACGUACACUGAACAUAAAAUAAUCAUUUGCACAACAUCUAUGCGAAAUGCCUAAAGUUGUAUAUGAAUAUAUAUAUAUAUAUUUCAUUGCGUUAAUAGUUGCAAGUUGCCAGGAUGCAGCGGCAUUAGUCGGUUUAGUAGCUAUACUUAAUACCCAAAAGAACAUGUUUUACAUAUUGUAUUAUUUGAGUGUGAUUUUUGUUGUACUGCAGCUUUGCUUUAAAACAGAAGAUGUGUGCUUGGCUGGUCAACCAACCCCCCCCCCCCCCCCUGCCCCUUCAUAGUUACCUAUGACCCUUUGUAGUGACCAUUUCAUAAUUACCACCCUAACAUGCUAGCUAGAUAGCCUGGAAGAAAAGGUUGGAACAUAACAGGGUCUUGUUGCCGCGGCAACCUUCAAAUCCUCCCAGGCUGGUGGGACUGCUUUCAUUUUUAAUUUACUUUAUUUAAACAAAAAAUUCAGAUGUUACCGUAGAAACCAGUUACCAGCAGAUCAUGUCUAAAUUUUAACUGCGUUCCUGUACGUUUUAAAGAUGAAAUACCUUAUUUUAAAGAUGAAAUAGCCUAUUUUAAAGAUGAAAUACCCUAUUUGAAUGUUUUUAUAAUGUCAUAUGUACUGUAAACACUGUCCUCGUCGGAGGUAUGAUGUCAUGUGUGAGUCACCCUGGACCCAGAGCCUGAGGCAUAGAGCGCACACCAGUCAUUCUGUCUGAACUACGUUAUUUAAUCGACUAUUUGACAUUUAAAUCGAGUACAUGGGCUUUUUUCUCAUUUCAGAAUAAUAUAUAUAUAUAUAUUUUUUUUACUAAUGAUACGAAGGAACCCUUUUUAUCAGCUCCAGUAUUCUGAACCGUCACUUAAAAUAAAUCAAUUUGACUAUUUGCAGCAGCAAUUUAAUCAUAAUCAAACAGUUUCCUUUCUCUGGGAAACUGCACAUUCUUUUGUGCUGCAAGUAUAGUAUAUGAGGUGUGUGUGUGUGUGUUGGUUAGGAUAGCUUAACAGGGUGAGUUACACCAAACGCAGUCUGUGCACCCCCUCCCUGGGUGAAUGUUUUGUUUUUUUGCCCAAGCACUGAACAGCUGAUUCAAAUAAUCAAUGCUUGAUGAUAAGUUGGCUAAUUGAAUCCGCUGUGUAGUGCUAGGGGCAAAAACCAAAGGACUGAGUUUGGGAAACACUGAGUUACACCAUGCCAAAACACACACACACACACACACACACCGCCUUUAUAAAAGCCCCCUAUUCCAGCAAACCCCCCCAGUAUUCAGAUGUCACACACACACACACACACACACACACGCACUCUCAGAGCCAAUGCUGGAGGUUCCCUAAACUAAUUGUCAUCUCUCCCUCCACUUCACAUAUGUACCCAGUCAGGGUGACUCUGUGGGUGUUUCUCAAUAUGCAUACUAGCGUGCUCCGAGCCCUGGAGGGUCAGAGUCGGAGUCCAAAUCAAAGUAUGUGAAGCGGACGACGAAUGGCACUUCUCUAAUGCGUACUCCAUUUGUACAUAUAUUUUGAAGCAUUCAUCGAUGCAAGCUUCGACGGAAAGUAUCCAAGAAAAUAUGACGCAAACCACGUAAAAAAAAAAAUGAAGCAACAUUUCUUGAAAUCGAUGGCGGACAUUAUUUGAGCUAAAGCGAGAGACUCGACUUCCGAAUAUAAUGUUGCCUGACUACAAUAUUAUAUCUUAAUAAAUCAGUAAAUGCAUGCUGUAUUAAUCUUGCCGUGUUUACCUGCCUACAUACCGUAGAUCGCUAGUCCAUAAUAAGUCAAUAGGGCUAACAGGCUAGCUACUAGUACUGUUAGCUAGCCAGAUAGCCACAAAGAAUUGUUAGUUAGCUAACCCACGAAGAGUUGACAUCUCCGACGCUCCGCCGUUUUAGGUCAUUGUUUUGCCUGUUAAACUAUCUGGUUAGCUACAUUAUUACGAUUCACAUAUGUAGCUGAAAGUUAUGAACUAAAAUGUUUGCUUUGUGUAUGUAUAUCUUGUUUUGUCUGUUGUUGCCAUUGUCCUGGCUGGAAGAAGGGUCAGUGGAUGGGGAGGUGCAGCGUGAGGUAAUACAGUGAGUGCUUCUCAAACGGAAUGUUUUUUUUUUACAUUCUCCACACUUUGUCCUCACAAGAACGUACUCAAGAGAACGUGGUCGGAGAAUGCACUCUGAGCAUGAGAGUGGAGAACGGUAGUAUGCAUAUUGAGAAACACCCUGUCUGUUUGCAUAUUGAGAAACACCCUGUCUGUUCGUUCCAGAUUUCCUGUUGUCUGUUCGUUUCAGAUUUCCUGUUGUCUGUUCAUUCCAGUGAAGUGAUAAGUUUUGGAAGUGGAUGAACAGUAUAGUAGUCCCCACACCGUCCCCCAUCCACCUCUGUCAAAACUAUAGUAGUCCACACUGAUAUCAGGAGUGACAUUAAGGAGGGGUGAUAGGUCUGAUAUCAGGGUGAUGGGUCUGAUAUCAGGGUAAUAGGUCUGAUAUCAGGGUGAUAGGUCUGAUAUCAGGGUAAUAGGUCUGAUAUCAGGGUGAUAGGUCUGAUAUCAGGGUGAUAGGUCUGAUAUCAGGGUGAUAGGUCUGAUAUCCGGGUGAUAGGUCUGAUAUCAGGGUGAUAGGUCUGAUAUCAGGGUGAUAGGUCUGAUAGCAGGAGUGAUAGGUCUGAUAUCAGGGGGAUAGGUCUGAUAUCAGGAGUGAUAGGUCUGAUAUCAGGGUGAUAUUAGGGAUGGGGGUGAUAGGUCUGAUAGCAGGAGUGAUAGGUCUGAUAUCAGGGUGAUAUUAGGGAUGGGGGUGAUAGGUCUGAUAUCAGGAGUGAUAGGUCUGAUAUCAGGGGGAUAGGUCUGAUAUCAGGGUGAUAUUAGGGAUGGGGGUGAUAGGUCUGAUAGCAGGAGUGAUAGGUCUGAUAUCAGGGUGAUAUGUCUGAUAUCAGGGUGAUAUUAGGGAUGGGGGUGAUAGGUCUGAUAUCAGGGUGAUAGGUCUGAUAUCAGGGUGAUAUGUCUGAUAUCAGGAGUGAUAUUAGGGAUUGGGAUGAUAGGUCUGAUAUCAGGGUGAUAGGUCUGAUAUCAGGGUGAUGGGUCUGAUAUCAGGGUGAUAGGUCUGAUAUCAGGAGUGAUAGGUCUGAUAUCAGGGUGAUAGGUCUGAUAUCAGGGGCUAAUAUGGAGGUACCUGUAGCUCAUACAAGACAUGGAGGCAUAGAGUUGGAUAAAGGGCACAUAUCAAUGUCUCUGCCCAUGUUAAAACAGGGUUUGGUGGAAAGUAAGCCCUCUGUCCAACUCUGGUUUAUAUCGAGGUUUUUUCAGUUGUAUUGGUCAUCACCAGCAUUUUUAUCAGAGUCACCUGACUUGUAAAUGAAGAAAUUAAUGAAAGUGUGGCUUUGUUUUUCAAAUCUGAACAAACCCCCAAAUGCGAGGAGUUGCUGUUAUUUUAUUUUGUAUUUUUCUUUCUUUGUGCUGUGUUAUUUCUCAUGAAAACAUCUAUUCUUAAGUGGCCAUUUGCCUUGUAAAGUAGUGUUUUACUGUGUGAUGGAUACAGUAAUUUCUAAGUACUGUGGAAUUUACAUCGUAACCAUAUUGUAGAGUACCUCAACAAAAAAAAAAUAUAUAUAUACAAACUUGUUGCCAAAUAAUGCCAAUGAAAAGACAACUAUAAUUAUUAUUAUUAUUAUUAACCAUGAAUUAUCAAGUGCAAGUAAGACAAAAUAACCUGAAGUGUCUAGAGGAGAGUUGCUAACGUCUCAUUGCCCUCAUGUUUUUUCUUCUUCUUCUUCUCUUGUAGUAGUGUUAGUUAUCCUGAAGCCUCUAACACUGCUGUGUUAACACUACAUGUAUGGCUGCGAUGUAAUAAUGAAGAGAAUAAAUAGACUAUAUUUUUCUACCAUCAGAGUGAAGCACUCCCCAUACACCGUAAGGGUGGCGGGAACGCGCUGGGAACCAAUGGGUCUGAGGCUAUGACGCUGUCGCCUGUAACCUAGGUAACAAAGGUUAAGACAACGUAAACAUUUCAAUGUGAAACGUGUAAUAAAAUAAGUUCAUUCAUCAGCACCGUUGAUGAUUCUACAGGAUUAGCGGUCGGGAAAAUCAAGUAAAGACUGUUGAUCAUUUGAAAAAUGUUAAAAAUGAAUAGAAUAACAGUAAAACAGUUUUUAAAAAAAAUAUAUAUAUAUAUAUAUAUAUAUAUAUAUAUAUAAAAAUGUACAGUUUAUCCGAUGUGUUGGCUGAGUAGUUAGCUGAAAUUCACUACGAUUGUGUUUAUUUUUCCACUUUUGAUGGCAAACUUUCUCUAUAGGCUACUGCGAACAUUAACUUUGUCAUUUUUUUUGCUCACAUUGCUAGUCCCAUCGUUUAGACUUGUUCCGUAUUUAUACAAAGACUUACUGAAUAUUAGCAUCCUAUUGUCUUAACCUUUGUUAUUUUAAACCUAACCUGUAACCAGGAAGUGGUCGUCACGUUGCCAACGUCGACACGGGAAAACAAUCUCCUCCGUCGCAACGCGAUUGGCCACGGUUUUACUGUAACCCAGCGUGCUCUCUCCUUACGGUAGAUGGCGUGUCCGUUUGCCGAUAUAGAUGGAGACUUUUAAAUUACCAUUUUUAUUUUAGAUAAAAACACUUUGUAAUUUUGUUUCCCGCUUUGAUGAGCGGCCAGACUGGGCUCACUUGUUGAAAAGUAGGAAAUGGAAACAGAAAGCCUAUAUAUUACACUGUUUUUUUUACCAUCCAUGUCUGGCCCAUAAGUUAACAGCAGGCCUGAAAUCAGUAUCACUAAGGACAGAGCUUAGACUGGUAACACUUAAGGGCUGGUCUCAAAUCAGCUCUUCUCAGAAUAGGUCUGUAGACGGGAGAUUAUCUGAAAUGGGUUUUUGCCGGAGGCGAAUUCCGCUUUAGCAGCUCAUGUUCCUUUUCCUUUGACAAACACUGAGUUGAUCUGGGGGCUAUGAAGGCUUAUUCCUGCCAACAUUUUUGGCAUUAAUCUCCUUCCAUAGAUUGAGUCCCUUUGGAACACACUUGGUCAUUCUUAUUUUCAUGCAUUCUCAGUCCUGAUAGGCUGACAGGGGAUGCACCGUUCAAGGUAGAGAGGGACCGCAUUUUAAUCAAUCAAUAUUAGCUACCGAUCAUCAAUCAAAACAAUAACCAAUGGCUGAUGUAGUUGCCAAUUGGGAGUUGGUGAUAGUUUGUUACCCACAGGAGGUUGGUGGCACCUUAAUUGGGGAGGACGGGCUAGUGGUAAUGACUGGAGCGGAAUAAGUGGAAUGGUAUCAAAUACAUCAAACACGUGGUUUCCAGGUGUUUGAUCCAUUCCAGACAUUGUGUUGUUACCAUGCCGAUGUGUGAUAGCAGACAGCCAACCCCUCUCAGGUGUUCUGCGGGAACGGAACAGAAUGUGACAAAGGGUUUAUUUUCUGAAUGUAAUAUUAGAUCAAGCUGCUUGUUGUGAAGGUGUGACUGCACCGCUGUCUGUCUCCCUCUCUGUAGAGACACUGUUCUUCUCAGGGUGGAUGGCUGUAAUGGUAUUGUCUCCCCACAGGGUGGCGCUGUUGCUUUAGCCCAGAAAGACAGACUGAAUCACGCUACGUUUUAGAAUUGUUUCACUACUGUAAUAAAGGGAGCUGAAUUCAGGUUGGAUUUCCAGGCGAGCACUGCUGCUGCUCCCGAGGAUAAAACGGUUCCAGUCCUCAUUUUGUCCACUAGGUAGCGCUAGCUGUCUCUACUGAGGGUGCAGACAGGGCUUUUGUCCACUAGGUAGCGCUAGCUGUCUCUACUGAGGGUGCAGACAGGGCUUUUGUCCACUAGGUAGCGCUAGCUGUCUACUGCUCGAUGUCGUCUUUAUACUGCUUCACUGUUUAACCCGUUUGAUAAUCUGUCCCUCCUCCAAGCCUGAGCUUCAGCUAAGACUAAAGCUCUUCUGACUUGCAUAAUAAUUGUACCGUAAAGUUUUUAGUUUAAAUGUUGUUUUUUUUGUGGAAAAAAAAAAAAAUGUGUCUGCAUUUAAAAACAAAAUGAAAUUACGGGAAUUAAAAUUACAAAGCAAACCAAACAGCAUGUUGUGGGUGUGGUUAUUGUCUGUUGUAGGUGUGGUCUGAGCUAAGAGGGUGUGGCAUAGUAUUCAAUUGGUAUUUUAUUUAAACCAUUAUAAAAGCUCAGCGAUAUGGAUAUAAACCGAUAUAAACGGUGGAACGACUACGUUUGUUGUCACACAACGAUCACACGCCAUCUUUAUGGCACGUCCAUAACUGCACUGACCGAGGUAAGGUCUACUACCAACAAUUGAUUGUAUAUUUUUCGACAACAUCUGUAGUUCCAUCACUUUUCAUGGUCGCGUCAUAUCACAGAGUCCCCCAGCUGUAUCAGUUCGGGUUUGGCCGGGAUAGACCGUCAUUUUACAUAACAAUUUGUUCUUAACUGACUUGCCUUGUUUAAAAUAAAGGGUUUUAAUUGAAA
Molecule: non-coding RNA, 8114 nt
Organism: Salmo salar (Atlantic salmon)
Lineage: Eukaryota; Metazoa; Chordata; Actinopteri; Salmoniformes; Salmonidae
Source: RefSeq, a predicted model, not a curated record